GAUGGAGAACGCAGCGAAAUGCGAUACUUGGUGUGAAUUGCAGAAUCCCGUGAACCAUCGAGUCUUUGAACGCAAGUUGCGCCCGAAGCCAUUAGGCCGAGGGCACGCCUGCCUGGGCGUCACACGUCGUUGCCCCCCCCAUCUACUCCUUCGGGAUUGCGGGGGGCGGAUGAUGGCCUCCCGUGCGCCUCGCCGCGCGGUUGGCAUAAAUGCCAAGUCCUCGGCGACGCACGCCACGACAAUCGGUGGUUGCGAAACCUCGGUUGCCCGUCGUGUGCGGUCGUCGCGCAUCGAGGGCUCGAAAAAAUUGCCGAGUUCCGGCUCGGCUUUCAACGCGACCCCAGGUCAGGCGGGGUUACCCGCUGAAUUUAAGCAUAUCAAUAAGCGGAGGA
RNAcentral lists this unclassified non-coding RNA (392 nucleotides) under soil metagenome. RNAcentral describes it as "partial contains 5.8S ribosomal RNA, internal transcribed spacer 2, and large subunit ribosomal RNA". The stretch from base 1 to 122 matches the Rfam family "5.8S ribosomal RNA", at positions 35 to 154 of the family's 154-position model. The record is from RNAcentral.